AUUGAACGCUGGCGGCAUGCUUUACACAUGCAAGUCGAACGGUAACAGGGUGCUUGCACCGCUGACGAGUGGCGAACGGAUGAGUAAUGCGUCGGAACGUGCCGAGUAGUGGGGGAUAACGCAGCGAAAGGUGUGCUAAUACCGCAUACGUACUGAGGUAGAAAGUGGGGGACCUUCGGGCCUCACGCUAUUCGAGCGGCCGACGUCUGAUUAGCUAGUAGGUGAGGUAAAGGCUCACCUAGGCGACGAUCAGUAGCGGGUCUGAGAGGAUAAUCCGCCACACUGGGACUGAGACACGGCCCAGACUCCUACGGGAGGCAGCAGUGGGGAAUUUUGGACAAUGGGCGAAAGCCUGAUCCAGCCAUGCCGCGUGUCUGAAGAAGGCCUUCGGGUUGUAAAGGACUUUUGUCAGGGAGGAAAUCCCUAGUGCUAAUAACACUGGGGGAUGACAGUACCUGAAGAAUAAGCACCGGCUAACUACGUGCCAGCCGCCGCAGUAA
RNAcentral lists this ribosomal RNA (500 nucleotides) under uncultured bacterium. Its description in RNAcentral is "partial 16S ribosomal RNA". It matches the Rfam family "Bacterial small subunit ribosomal RNA", at positions 30 to 523 of the family's 1533-position model. The record is from RNAcentral.